This 464-nucleotide ribosomal RNA is filed under the name uncultured bacterium. RNAcentral describes it as "partial 16S ribosomal RNA". It matches the Rfam family "Bacterial small subunit ribosomal RNA", at positions 339 to 795 of the family's 1533-position model. The record is from RNAcentral.
CUACGGGGCGCAGCAGUGGGGAAUAUUGCACAAUGGGCGCAAGCCUGAUGCAGCCAUGCCGCGUGUAUGAAGAAGGCCUUCGGGUUGUAAAGUACUUUCAGCGGGGAGGAAGGGAGUAAAGUUAAUACCUUUGCUCAUUGACGUUACCCGCAGAAGAAGCGCCGGCUAACUCCGUGCCAGCAGCCGCGGUAAUACGGAGGGUGCAAGCGUUAAUCGGAAUUACUGGGCGUAAAGCGCACGCAGGCGGUUUGUUAAGUCAGAUGUGAAAUCCCCGGGCUCAACCUGGGAACUGCAUCUGAUACUGGCAAGCUUGAGUCUCGUAGAGGGGGGUAGAAUCCCAGGUGUAGCGGUGAAAUGCGUAGAGAUCUGGAGGAAUACCGGUGGCGAAGGCGGCCCCCUGGACGAAGACUGACGCUCAGGUGCGAAAGCGUGGGGAGCAAACAGGAUUAGAUACCCCGGUAGUC